RNAcentral lists this ribosomal RNA (520 nucleotides) under uncultured Glomus. Its description in RNAcentral is "SSU rRNA". It matches the Rfam family "Eukaryotic small subunit ribosomal RNA", at positions 569 to 1091 of the family's 1831-position model. Lineage: Eukaryota; Fungi; Glomeromycota; Glomeromycetes; Glomerales; Glomeraceae. The record is from RNAcentral.
AGCAGCCGCGGUAAUUCCAGCUCCAAUAGCGUAUAUUAAAGUUGUUGCAGUUAAAAAGCUCGUAGUUGAAUUUCGGGGUCAAUACGUCGGUCGUGCCUCGGUACGCACUGACGUUAUUGAUCCCUCCCUUCUGACGAACCGUGAUGUCAUUAAUUUGGUGUUGCGGGGAAUCAGGACUGUUACCUUGAAAAAUUAGAGUGUUUAAAGCAGGCAAUCGCUCGAAUACAUUAGCAUGGAAUAAUGAAAUAGGACGUUCGAACCUAUUUUGUUGGUUUCUAGGAUCGACGUAAUGAUUAAUAGGGAUAGUUGGGGGCAUUAGUAUUCAAUUGUCAGAGGUGAAAUUCUUGGAUUUAUUGAAGACUAACUACUGCGAAAGCAAUUUGCCAAGGAUGUUUUCAUUAAUCAAGAACGAAAGUUAGGGGAUCGAAGACGAUCAGAUACCGUCGUAGUCUUAACCAUAAACUAUGCCGACUAGGGAUCGGAUGAUGUUAAUUUUUCAAUGACUCAUUCGGCGCCUUAC